AGACUGAACGCUGGCGGCAUGCCUAACACAUGCAAGUCGAACGGCAGCGCGGGGAGCAAUCCCUGGCGGCGAGUGGCGGACGGGUGAGGAAUACAUCGGAAUCUACCCUGUCGUGGGGGAUAACCAAGCGAAAGCUUGGCUAAUACCGCAUACGACCGUGAGGUGAAAGCGGAGGACCUUCGGGCUUCGCGCGAUUGGAUGAGCCGAUGUCGGAUUAGCUAGUUGGCGGGGUAAGAGCCCACCAAGGCGACGAUCCGUAGCUGGUCUGAGAGGAUGAUCAGCCACACUGGGACUGAGACACGGCCCAGACUCCUACGGGAGGCAGCAGUGGGGAAUAUUGGACAAUGGGCGCAAGCCUGAUCCAGCAAUGCCGCGUGUGUGAAGAAGGCCUGGUUGUAAGACACUUUAUACGGAGACGAAAGACGACGAAGUUAACUACCCUCGCG
This 446-nucleotide ribosomal RNA is filed under the name uncultured soil bacterium. RNAcentral describes it as "bacterial SSU rRNA". It matches the Rfam family "Bacterial small subunit ribosomal RNA", at positions 26 to 469 of the family's 1533-position model. The record is from RNAcentral.